This 447-nucleotide ribosomal RNA is filed under the name uncultured bacterium. RNAcentral describes it as "partial 16S ribosomal RNA". It matches the Rfam family "Bacterial small subunit ribosomal RNA", at positions 29 to 523 of the family's 1533-position model. The record is from RNAcentral.
AACGAACGCUGGCGGCAGGCUUAACACAUGCAAGUCGAGCGCCCCGCAAGGGGAGCGGCAGACGGGUGAGUAACGCGUGGGAACAUACCCUUUCCUGCGGAAUAGCUCCGGGAAACUGGAAUUAAUACCGCAUACGCCCUACGGGGGAAAGAUUUAUCGGGGAGGGAUUGGCCCGCGUUGGAUUAGCUAGUUGGUGGGGUAAAGGCCUACCAAGGGGACGAUCCAUAGCUGGUCUGAGAGGAUGAUCAGCCACAUUGGGACUGAGACACGGCCCAAACUCCUACGGGAGGCAGCAGUGGGGAAUAUUGGACAAUGGGCGCAAGCCUGAUCCAGCCAUGCCGCGUGAGUGAUGAAGGCCUUAGGGUUGUAAAGCUCUUUCACCGGAGAAGAUAAUGACGGUAUCCGGAGAAGAAGCCCCGGCUAACUUCGUGCCAGCCGCCGCCGUAA